GGGAAUAUAGUUCAAUGGCAGAACGCUCCGCUGUUAACGGAUGGACGGAUGUUCGAAUCAUCCUGUUCCCG
RNAcentral lists this transfer RNA (71 nucleotides) under Niastella sp. RNAcentral's name for it is "tRNA-Asn". It matches the Rfam family "tRNA". From Rfam's summary of the family: Transfer RNA (tRNA) molecules are approximately 80 nucleotides in length. RNAcentral also lists the same sequence under 1 other name. The record is from RNAcentral. Lineage: Bacteria; Pseudomonadati; Bacteroidota; Chitinophagia; Chitinophagales; Chitinophagaceae.